Molecule: ribosomal RNA, 253 nt
Filed under: uncultured bacterium
Lineage: Bacteria
Description: partial 16S ribosomal RNA
Rfam family: Bacterial small subunit ribosomal RNA
Source: RNAcentral
UACGGAGGGAGCUAGCGUUGUUCGGAAAUACUGGGCGUAAAGCGCACGUAGGCGGCGCAGCAAGUCAGGGGUGAAAUCCCGGGGCUCAACCCCGGAACUGCCCUUGAAACUGCAGUGCUAGAAUUCUGGAGAGGCGAGUGGAAUUCCGAGUGUAGAGGUGAAAUUCGUAGAUAUUCGGAAGAACACCAGUGGCGAAGGCGACUCGCUGGACAGACAUUGACGCUGAGGUGCGAAAUCGUGGGGAGCAAACAGG